This 501-nucleotide ribosomal RNA is filed under the name uncultured bacterium. Its description in RNAcentral is "partial 16S ribosomal RNA". It matches the Rfam family "Bacterial small subunit ribosomal RNA", at positions 29 to 523 of the family's 1533-position model. The record is from RNAcentral.
AUUGAACGCUGGCGGCAUGCCUUACACAUGCGAGUCGAACGGCAGCACGGGUGCUUGCACCUGGUGGCGAGUGGCGAACGGGCGAGUAAUACAUCGGAACGUACCUUAUCGUGGGGGAUAACGCAGCGAAAGCUGUGCUAAUACCGCAUACGCCCUGAGGGGGAAAGCGGGGGAUCGCAAGACCUCGCGCGAUUAGAGCGGCCGAUGCCUGAUUAGCUUGUUGGUGGGGUAAAAGACCACCAAGGCGACGAUCAGUAGCUGGUCUGAGAGGACGAUCAGCCACACUGGGACUGAGACACGGCCCAGACUCCUACGGGAGGCAGCAGUGGGGAAUUUUGGACAAUGGGGGCAACCCUGAUCCAGCAAUGCCGCGUGAGUGAAGAAGGCCUUCGGGUUGUAAAGCUCUUUUGUCAGGGAAGAAACACCGGCUCUAACACAGUCCGGGAAUGACGGUACCUGAAGAAUAAGCACCGGCUAACUACGUGCCAGCCGCCGCCGUAA